GUGUUUGAUUGAAAGUAGACUUUCGAGUGUGCAAUAAUAACCUACUAAGACAUUAUGUGAAACCGUUGGUGUUCGUGGAUUAGGUAUCAAUUCUACUUAAACUUUAUAUGCUUGUGGCAUGACACAUAUCACGCUAGAUGUUGCUUGAACUUUUGAUUAUUUUGAAUUUUAGAAGUUUUAAAAGUAACAUAUUUGACCUGGGUUCUGCAGAAACCUUUCCAAUUCAUCGUUGACUGGAUUCAUCACACCGCAGCUUGGCUCUCUAAAUUCUUUGCAGAAACUGUAUGUGUUUUGUUUAUUGUUACAUACUGGUUUCUGAUAAAUUAUGUCUGAAGAUUUCUUCAGUGGAAGAAAUUAUGAUGAUGCAUGCCUAUUUUGCAGAAUUUUGAGUAAUAAUUCUUUUCAUGGAUUGAUACCUAAACAACUUAGCAUGUUGAAAAGCCUUACUGAGUUAGAUUUGAGUUUCAAUCAUCUAUCUGGACCAAUUCCUCCUGAGAUUGGAAAGUUGACUAGAAUUGUGAAAAUGUAAGAAGCAGACUGUAUCCUGACAAUUUUAGUUACUUAAUUUUUGUAUUAUUUUAUUGUUUGCUAAUGUCUUUGUUACUGGUGUUAUUCUUAGAAAUAUUCGGUCUAAUGGGCUGAUUGGUACUUUGCCCCCCGAGCUUGGUAAGCUGGUGAGGCUUGUUGAGCUAUGGUUAGAUAGAAACAAGCUUAAUGGAGACAUUCUUGGAAGCAGCAAUUUAAAUAAGUAAGUGAUGCUUACUCAUAUUCUAAUAUUUUUUAUAUUUGUUCUGUUAUGUUUCGAUUUACAACCUAAGGCUGGAAUUGGACCACAUGAAAUUGAUGAUACUCCAACUCAAUUGCCCAAGCAAUUAAUUUUUACAAAUUAAGAGAGUUAGCACCACAAUAUAGUGAAAAUAUUCUGACUUUAUCUUAUAAGAUUCCUUUAUUAGUUUUGCAUGAUUGCUAUGUCUAUUUAUCCUUGAAAUGUUUGUGAAUUUUGUGAGGGAUAUAGGUGGAGAUAGCAGCAAAGUUAGAUUUCUUAAUGCCCUACAAAAUUGGUUAUGAGGGUUACUGAUAAGCAUGUCAACGUUUUUUGGAGAAAUGUAUUUGAUGAAGCCAAAAUUCUUCUCAAACAAUGGAAGCCAAAGACCUCCUUAGCUACAGACCAUAAUGAAAUAAGUAGAACAAAAAAAAAGGAUAGCAAUAAAAUCUUUUAAUGUCUGCAAACUCAUCUACUUUUAUGAGAUAACAGAGAUAAGUAGUUAGGUGCUUGUGAUAGUUGAAGUGUCAAAACUUCAAAACUUUGAAAGUGGCCUCUUGGACAACCGACAGGCUUGAACAUUUAUGGGGAUGCAAUGGACUUAAAUGCUUAUUAUGAUUGAGAAUGAUGCUCAUAACGGGGAGACUGUCAUGGAAAACUGGCAGUGAUAAUGACAGUUUAUCCAACAUCAGCUAGGAGAGCAGGAUCACUUAAAAUCAGUGAAGACUUGCAUGCUGUUGAUUUGUCAAACCAUGCCAGGUUUAUAUGCACCAAAAUCUGCAAUUUACACACUAAUACUCAUGCUUAUUUUGAAAGAAAGAGGCAUCUGAAACUUUGAUGGAAAAAGAUAUAUUCCUAGUUCAGUUGGAUAACAAGCAUGAAAAACAAACCUCCCUUAAAGGCCAGCUUGCGCAUUGAUUGGAGAGAGGGCCAUGAUCACCAUUUACAACCAGUGGAAAUCAUAAUGAUACAACUGUGUGAUAGCCUAGGACCUUUGCAGUGGGUAAGAGAGGUCAAAGAUCAGGUAAGAGUAAACAAGAGAAAGAGAAGCCUGCUUGGCAUGAUCAUUACCCUUGCAAUUCUCUAUUUAUAGAGGUUGAACAGCUGAAAAAAAUGGAAUCCUAGUAGGAUAGAUUUAUCCCUUGGAGGUGGUUGAUUACGUACACAUGUCAGCAAAUCUAGUUUAUACCACCCAUUACAAUCAAUUAUUUCUGAUAAUGAAUUAGCCUAAAAUAUCCAUCAUAUCUUGUCAAAUAUUCUCUAGCUUAUUCACUAUUUUUUAUCAUAUCUUAUAGAACCUUCAUAAUUUUUUCAAAUUUUAACAGAAAACAAACUAAGAAGCCCUGUCUAUAAUGGUGUUUACGAACAAGAUAUUAAAAAGUUACUAGAGGCAGAUUUCUGGAUUGCUGUGAUUGUUGUCUGAUCUAUUACUUCUCUGCGGAACAUACAAGGGGUAUGACAAGGCACCACAACAACAAGAAGUUUCCUAAAGGAUAUGGAGGUGUGCAAAUAUAGGUCUAGCAAUUGUUCUGCUUAUGAGACCGUUCACUGUAAAUAUGCAAAUAGGAGCAAUUGACCACCUUUGUUAUUACUGAAGUCAAAAGAAAGGCAGAUAAGAGAAAACAUUUUGUUGUUACUUCCACUUAAUGAUCAUGUCUGGUGGUUUAAAUAGUCAGUGCAUCAUUGUGGAACACUUAUAUUUUCUAUUCAUCAUUGCAUAUAUUCCCAAUGACAGUAGGGUGCUCGAUCAUGCUAAUGAGGCCUGCAAUGUGUAUCAUAAGUAUGAUAUUAUAUAAACUAAUAUGUUUAAGAAAGUCUUGCAAAUUUCUUUUAAAAGUUUUCUUUAAUGGAAUAUGGAACCCUUUUCACAGGAAAAUUUCAAUAAGAUGCUUGUUGCAGAUUAUGUUGCAAUGUUAUAUUAAGGAAGAUGGCUUUCUUUAUUUCAAAAUGUUGGAUAAUGUUUUGCAUUUAAAUUUACUAUCUUGGAUAUUAUUAAAGAAAGAUAUUAUUUGGCAUUUAUUUUCACCUAGGAUUAAAUGCUUUGUGUUCUUUUCCUAAUUCAGGUCUGCCUCCCACACUAAUGGCACUGGCUUAUGCGGAUUGCAUCGGUUAGAAGUUGGAGACUUCUCAAACAACUUUUUUGUUGGGAACAUACCCUUAUGCUUGAAGUAUCUUCCCAGGUACAAAGUUUUCUGUUAAUACCAUUCAGUCAAUUUGUCCUAGCUGAACUUGAUUUGCUUUAUUUUUCACAGAACAAGCUUCCAAGGAAACUGCCUCCAAGUUGAACACUCCGUCUCACAACGCUCUGCUCAACAAUGUAGGCUACACCCCUUCAUAAAGCUCUUUCCUUCUUUCCUUUUAUUUUAUUCUUUUCUUUUAUUUUUUCUUUUUUUGGGAGAAGUUUCACAAAGUACUUUUUUUUAAAUAUUUUUUUCCAAAAUACAGGCAGAGAUCCCUGCUUUUAGACUCUAAAUGGUUCAUCUUGUUGUGAAAUCACUCAUUUUAUAUGUGAAUCUUUUUGCAAAUUUACAAACAUUACCUGUAUUACUCAAGGUUCUCAUCUUGGUCAAGAUCUCUGUUUAUAUCAAUAUAUGUAAAAUCUCGGACCUUAUUAUCUCGGUAAAUAUGAACUGAUAUAACCCGAGAUAAUGGCCGAUAUAAUAUACACAUAUUGGCAGAUAUUUUCUCAUCUUUUAUUAACUAUUUAACAUUGUAUGUUCAUAGUUUCUUUACUAGUUUUGGAUAAUAAUCAUUAAUUUAGACAUUAGGGAUCUGUGCUGGGACGAUGAUGACAGUUGUUGGAAUAAUUGAGGGUGGCGAAGCAGGGAUGAUGUGUGGGGAUGGGAAAAGGAAGGAAAAGAGUAACAAGAUAGGGAAGAAAAAAGGGAUUUAGAGAGAUAUAGGGAGAAGAUAAGAGAAAGGAAAGGAACAGCGGAGCGACAGGAGGCAAAGAAGCGAUUACCAGUGGUGGACUGAGAAGGUAGUCUAGAGGGUGAUAAUUUGAUAACCCAACAGAAGGCCAAACAUUUAUCAGAUCAGUUCUGAAGCUGAUGGUCAGGCUGGUGGGCAUCGAUGGUGGGGCAGCCUGAUCAGUGGUGAAGGGAUAGGUUGGGGAAAGGGAAUAGAAGAGGAGAUUAGAGAUAGUCCGAAGAGAAAUAGGGAUUCCUAACUUAAAUUAACUAAUCUAGCUAGUAUGAUAAUCGAUCUUGCUUUUACUAUAUUGGCCCAUCUUCUGGUAUUUAAGUGGUAAAAUAUCAAUGGAGAUUCCAGAACAUCUCGGUUAUUGAAUUUUUGCUGGACUUUUCAUCUCAGCCCAGAGAAACAGAUAUCUCGGUUGAACUUGGUAUUGGGCACUGACCAAGAUACUAGCAUGUCGGGUUUUAAAAACCUUGGUAUUACUCACGUUGAUAUACUUAAAUUGGCACUUGACUUAACCAUCAUUUUUUUCCAACCUAGGUUAUUUCAUUUUCCAUAUCAUCAUCCAUUUUAUUCUUGUCUUGCACUCUUUUCCCAUAUUUUUACUGUUCAAUGCUUCCAUUCCUGCAUAUCUUCCAUUUAUUUCAAAUCCCUUUUUCCUUCAUAAAUCUUGUCUAUAAGUGGUUAUGAAAGUGAUAAUGACCGAUACUAAAAUACAUGGGUCCUUCCGAUAGGGGUAAUGCAGAAUAGAACAGAUCAUGAGAACACAGUUAUCCCAACAGUGUGAUCUCAACUAGACAUGCUGUCAGGUAUCAGUCUAUCAAUAUUAAUAGCAGACACAAGUGCUGAUGCCAAGUUACUACUGUAGAAAUCUUGCCCCUAGUUUUGUGUCUUUUAACUGAUCUAAGGAGAAAGAAACCAGAAGCCAAAUCCUGCCUCAAUUGCCUUAAGGAUUGAAUUCAUGGUUUUAAAUGUUGCAUGCUGAUGUUGUGUUUUGCUAGUGCUUAGCAUGCAUGAGCAUGUAUGCACCAGCAUGCAUCCACGCCAUGUGCUGGUCUAGUCCUGGCAUGGUAUGUCAUAAGCCAUGUCAACCGGCAUUGCAUUUAAUCCUUGACUAAGCUUCGUGCAAUGCCUUAUCCAUCUUGGGUAUUUUAUAUUACAUCAGACAUCUCAUUCUAACUUAAGCAGCAUCCAUUACACAUGGGAAAGGGAACCUAUCAUCUCAUCAAUGCCUCAAAAAAUCAUCUCAUACAUGAAAUCAAGGCCUUGUUAAGGUAUUACAUCUUGCUGUUAAUCUAUAAAGACCUUGAUCAUAGUAACGUAAACUACUUAACUAUAUAGUUAACAACAUGCAUUCUUCUUACAUGAUAUGUAACCAAACAUACAAUUUUUAAAAUUCCAAGCCAAAGUAAAAAGGAGGAAGACAUUAAUGGGUCAGUUAAGAUAAAACCAUUAAAUAAUGUUAGCACAAAGCUCAAAUACAUUGCACGGAUUUCAUUAUUCUAAUAAAACCAUAGAAUUGUAAAAGUUAUAGUCUAGUACAUGCAUUGUUCUUGUGUGACUAAAUAACAGAGGUACAACUACCAUAAAUACACAUCCUACCAAAAUAAAUUGUUGUGGCUUGUGAGGCAAAAUUUGAUUUUCUCCCUUCUGAUUUCCUAUUUGAUCUCUUUACUUUAUUUUCUUGCUGGUGUAUGGUAAGAUCUGACAAGUAACAUGCUGCCUUUUUGCAGCUCUAAUGGCAUAAUCUUUAGAUGACACCCUCAUUAUAAGAUUGUUCAAUGUGCAUCACACAAGAACUAUGCCAUCUUAGUCAGGUAAAAGAAAUGCUAGUGGAAAGUUAACAAUCUAAAACAUUGGUUCAGCACUCCAAAAGCAUGUUCUAUGAAGGUUCAUAAGGAAGAGUGUUCAAGGUUGUAAACUUCCUUUUAGCUUUUGGUCAGAUUUUGUAUGCUGAAAAUUUUCUAGUGGUAUUGUAUGCCACAAAAUGGAAAAAUGAUGUAGGCUGUAAUUUGCAUUUACCAUCAACUAGAAAUUAUUUUACUACAUUUUGCAUGCAUCCUUUUGUUGUGCAUAAUAGAAUGGAACGUGUUGUACACAUCAGCCAUGAAACUGUGAACUAGAACUCUAGAAUCAUUUUGUUUUACUGGGGCACUACAUAGAAAUGACGUUCAUUUGCAAAUCUCCCCAAACAGUCUAUGCAUUAGAGAAAUGAAGGAAAAAUGUUAUGGCAGCCAUGAGGCCCGUGACAUCCCGUGACAUUCUAAGGAGGUCUAUGAUAAUCAACCAUCUACCAACAAUGUCACUCAUAUUGUGGUAGGCAUAUGUGUUUGGAAAGACCAUAACAGUUUAAUUAAGAAUUCCUGACAUGCUAAAGUGUCGUUUUCCUGUAGCCAUAGGUUUGAGUUCUAGCUGGAACUCCAAAAAUAAAAAUGAAGCUCUUCAGUUGCCUGACACUACUACAAAAACGAGGUUAAUUUUGAAGGUCUAACUUUAAAAAAUAAAAAAUAUGGGCAGUUUGUUGGUUUUUUUGUUUGUUUAUUCUUUUCCCUAAAUUUAGAAUGCCUUUUGUUGACCUUACACUUAUAUUUUUCAUGUAUUGUGAAAAUUAAAAGGAUUUCCAUAUCUAUUUUUUUUAGUAACCUUUGAGAACUCUUUCUCUCUCUCUCUCAUGUGUUUAUGUGUGAAGAGGGGGUUGGGGCCAGAGGAGAUUUUUUAGAAGAGAAAGAAAAAGGUUUUAGUGUAUUUUGGCCCUAAUGGAUAAAGAGUUUGUGAGAUUUGAGGUUUGACUUAAGGUUUUAGCUAAAAUCUCCUCUUUAGCUUUCAAGUUCCAGAAACCAAAGUGUAUUCCUCUCAGAUAUAUUUUGUGGACAAAUAAUGUUUUCUAGAUGAUAAAUAUGGAUAUGUUAAUUUUUCUUAUUUCUUUAGGUUGGUAUCAGUAGUUUUCCAUCAAACAAUUGUAUGAUAGCUGUUAUGACAUGAAUCAUGGGCUUUAACUAAUUCAUUUUUCAUUCUUUGAUAUCUUGUCUGGUUACAGUCCAAAAACAAUAUACUCCAAAAUAAUGCCUAACAUAUUUUAUUGACUUGUAUUAAUUUUCAUUUUAUGUUUUAUUUCUAAUAUUUUUAUAUCUAAUAUUUUAUUUUUAAUAUUUCUUAUUUAUAAAACUUAUUUAUUUUCUUGCUGAAAAUUUAAAGCUCCAACCGUAAGCACUGAACUAAAAGUCUAUUAGUUGAAGUGAAACCAAAACUGGAGUUUAGUCUUCAUACAUUGCCUGUAGAUAAUAAAAAUUAGCUAUUCACCAAUUUGGGCAUCAUAUUUUAUUUUAUCUAGCAUAGAUAAGUUUUAGGGUUUGCAUGAGAGCCUUUUAAGGAGACAAUAGCUUUCAAUACAUUCCUAACUACCUCUCAAUAAUCUUGCCUGAACAGCAAAUAUUGUGAUCAAUAACUCAAUUUUUGGUUGUCCUAUAGCUCACAAACAUAAUCAAUUAUUGAUUACCAAGUACAUGGAUAGUGUCAUGUGGGAUUUGCUGUUCGCCAUUAUGGUUUUUAACCAAUUAAGGAUUUUUUUGAGUCACCCUUAUUAUUACAAUGGAGGUCUUGUCAGUAUUACAUACUUGAUUAAGAAAAAAAAGGCCUUUUGGUUUCAUGAUAAUUCAAUUUUGUUCCUGUAACAUCUAAUUUUCGAUUUUGAAUUUUAGCAAAGGCUGUGCAUAGGCCAAUAGGGCAAUCAGAUAAUGUUGUUAAAGUCCCCAACUUUGUAAAGGAAACAAUAUUCCCAGGUGCCCCGUUUUGGGUGUGUGUGGGGGUGGGGGGUGGGGGGUGGGGGGAAGGGGUGGUUGGAGGCAUAGACUGAUGGAUUUUGGCAUGGCUUAACAUUAUUCAGGUUGAGAGUUAGGUGGCUGAGAGAGUUGGUAGGUGAGGGAUAGGUGUUGGGGUAGGGUAAUGGUGGCGGGGUGGAGAACAAGAAGCAUAGGAGAUGCGGUUGUGCUAGUUGAGGUGGUGGUAGAUGUGUGAAGGGUUGGGGAUUGGGUGGUGGUGGUGGUGGAUGACAAGAGUUGGUGAUACAGUGCUGGCUGUCAAUUUGGUGAUGUGAGUGGUAAAGUAGAUAAGAGGUUUGGAGGGCAAUGGGCAUGGAGGAAGGAUUUAGGGGAAAUGUCAUGAGGGUUGAGAUUAGGGUGGGUUAGGUGGGGAUAUGGGUGCUGGAAAGAGUGAGUGAGUGAGAGAGAGAGAGAGAGAGAGAGAGAGGAGGACNNNNNNNNNNNNNNNNNNNNGAGAGAGAGAGAGAGGAGCGGUGAGAGCUGAGAAGCCCACACUUGGAGGAGGUGAUAGUGUUGUACCUCUAAGCAACAAACCCUAAUUUCACUUUUCUAUGGGUCCUUUCUUCUUCUUUUUUUCUGGAGAUUUUUGCAAAAUUUGAAAUGCCUAGUUUCUCCAGGUUUUAUGAGAAGUUUCUUAGAUUAUUUUACCAAAUGAGGAACAGAAAACUGAGUUUUAAAAAUAAAAAAUUACUUUCAGGCUGUUUUCCUUGCAAACAAAAAGGCCAAAAUGGGACUUCUUGUAUUAGAUCUUUAUUUUUUAAAAAAAACAAAAAUAUGCCCCUUAAAACCUCGUAUCCACAAAAUUGUGCUAAUACUCUUUCCAAGCAUGUGACUAGCAAACCUUAGAAGUCCAGCAAACUUCAGCAAACCCUAGGUACGUAUCUUAAGUUAUCUAAAUAACUGUAUUGUCAUAAAUCUGAUAUGAAUCUGUGCACAAGUUUUGAUUUUCUUGAAAAAUUAGGACAUAAGCAUGGCUACAGAACUUAAAUGGCGCACCAAAGGCUAAUAGAAUGCUUUUAUAUUUCAAACAUAGUAGAGUGAUGCUAACUGGACUUUGAGAUAUGAAAUUACAUGGCCCUGGAACUCGAACAUACACACUUUUCUGCUUGCCGGUGCCUACAGAGUGGCACGACACUGCAGUAGUUACGUCUGGAGUUGGAUGCUUUUGACUCUAAGCAGUGUUUUCCAAUCAAAAAAUUUCUAUACUUUUGAUGCCCAUAGAUAUGAUGGUCCAACAUUUACGGAUAGUAUAUAAUGUGAGACUUUGGGUGGUGAAGCUCACAUAGUAAGAUUGCCUGAGGCAUGUUUCAAGUUUCAGUAAAAUUUCUAUAGUUGGUACUAAAGUAAUGACUGUCUGCAAUGGAUAGAUCAAGAUUGUAAUGUCAAAGCACCAUGUUUUAGUGCCCCUCAAGCUCAUAGCAAUAUGAUGGUAAUGUCCCACCACCGGGGUUUGAACCCUGGACCUCCCCUAAUAGCAAGCCAUUAGGAUAGGAGCGCCAACCAGCUGAGAUAAUAGCUGGUGCCUUAUUCAUUCCUUAUUAUUUAAGCUUUAGUUUUACAUAUUGACCAUAUAACAUUUGAUAAGCUUUACAUGGAAAACUUGUUAUGCUGGGUCUUUCAUGCAAGUAUUGUAUUACUGAGUUGCCUGAACAGAUGUAAUUAUAACUGGCAUGGGGGCUAAUUACAAAGCACCUACCGAACAGUUUUAUUGUAGAAGACAGCAUUUGCAACGGCUAAUAGAGGUCUUGAAUAAAGUAAAAGUACACCUUGAAUCUGACAUUAUGAUACAGCAUCUCAGAUUCCAUUUCUUGCAUAAACUCUCUUCUAUGUGAUUCUAUAAUGAAAAUGUGCUCUCUAUUCAUUUUAGGUAGCUCUGCAAAUAGCCAGCAAGUUGCCAGUGACACAAACAAUAGUCCCUAUGAGGGGAAAAAAAACAAAAAGCCACGGGAACCAGUGUGGCUUCUGAUUCUGGAAAUUAUAACAGGAGCUCUUGUGGUCCUUUUUCUAAUAACCUGUACUAGUGCUGCUUUUAAGAGAUGCAAAGCUAAAUCGUCUGCUAUUCUUCCAUGGAAAAGAACCACAGACUGGAAGGACCAGAAAACAAUAUCAAUUGGUAAGCAAUACCAUUGUGUUUAUUGUUUUACUUAGUGACAGUUCUGAUUUUGGAUGCUAAUACAAUGGGAUCUAUGUCACUGGUUGAUGAUAUUGCUGCAUACAGAUGGUGAGUUACUGAAAAAUGUAUUAAGAAUAAGCCGCCAGGAGCUUGAACUAGCUUGUGAAGAUUUCAGCAACAUAAUUGGGUCAUAUCCGGAUAGUGUAGUUUACAAAGGUACUGCGAAGGAUGGGCCUGAAAUUGCUGUUAUAUCACUUAGUAUUUCAGAAGAUCACUGGACAAGUUACCUUGAGCUUUACUUUCAGAAUGAGGUAAUUUGUCCACCAAAUUCUGUUCUGAAUUCCAGGGACCCACAUAACUUAAGAAUGUUAAAUAGACACUGUAUGUGCUUCAGGUGGCAGAUCUGUCUAGGUUAAAUCAUGAAAACACAGCAAAGUUGCUAGGCUACUGCAAAGAGAGUGAGCCAUUUUCAAGGAUGCUUGUUUUUGAAUAUGCAUCAAAUGGGACACUGUAUGAGCACCUGCACUGUGAGUCAGAAUAAUAUUUUAUUUCUUGUUGAGGGGAUUGCUUAUUUUGACAUGCUAUAGGAGCUCAUGAAUCUAAUAUGCACUUUUGUUGUAGAUGGUGAUGGAUGCCAGCUAUCCUGGUUCAGACGAAUGAAAAUUGCUGUAGGUAUUGCUCAUGGACUAAAAUAUCUACAUACUGAAUUGCAGCCUCCAUUCACAAUGUCUGAGUUAACCUCCAGUGCAGUUUAUCUGACUGAAGAUUUCUCUCCAAAGGUAUCUAUCAUGUCUGGCAUGUCGGAGAUUGUUAGAUGCAGUUGCUGGUUUAAUCUGUCAUGGUUUAGAAAAUAAAAGAUCAGUAUAAGUGCAUGCAUGCUAAUAGGCUGGUCCAUAUUUGGUAUGCUUCUCAUCUUAAAAGAUCUGGAUCAGCAUCUAGAACUUGGACCUGAAUCAGCCAUUAUUCUGAAGGAUUUGGUCUGGCAUAAGCCAAUACUGGCUUGGACUUGAGUUGGUUCUUAAUGUCUGAACCAAAAACACUCAUAUUCUAAAGAAUUUUGUUCUGGCAUAAGGCCAAUACUGGCUUGAGUUCAAGUUGGUUGAAUGUUUGGACUUGAAACAGUCAUUAUUCUAAAUGAUUUGUUCUGGCAUUGUACUUGUUUGUGCUUGAGCAGGUUCUGAACAUCUGCAACCAUGACUUCCCCUUCCUUUUUCUUCAUUUUCUUUUUCCCUGCUUUGAUCAACCUGAUCAACUUAAACUUGUAUCACAUAGACAGGAUGGCAUUUAAGAGUCAUUUUCUUUUUCAUUUUUUAUUUUUUGAUUUGUUUUUCUUUUACAAGAAUCGUAUUUCUUAUGGGCUGUGGCUUUUUCUGUCUUGCUCAGCACCUGGCUAACUUGAACAAUUGUGCAUGUAUGCUGUCUACCCUUGUCUACACAUUUGGAAGAAAACUUGACAUAUGAAUGCUAAACUACCAAAAAAGUUUGAUUGGGUUUCCAAUAGAAUCCAACUUAUAAAGGAUCUAACCUUAUUUUAUUGGUGGCUUUACAUCUAAUCAACAUUAAGUUCAUUGAGACUGUUAGGACAAUAUUCUUGUGAACCAAUGUAGAUAGAAAGAUUUACUUGCAGUUCAUCUACUUCCAGUUUUUCUAUCAUCAACAGCAAUACAAUUCUUUGCUUGAAAUUAAAUUCCAUCAGACUAUUUACUGUCAUCUACAUGAAUGAUAGCUGGUAACGAGGUCGUAGAGAACUGAUCAGUUCCUUGCAUUGUGGCCAUUCCUAUACUUUAUUAUGUUGGAUGUUAUUGUCAUACUUCACUGUUGUUUAUCUACUUUCAUUUCCUUUCAUGCAUUGUGGAAAGAAACUUUUUGAAUAUUAAUCAUGGAAAGAAAUAAUCUUAACUCUACCUUCAUCUGUGCAGUUGGUUGAUUUUGAAAGGUGGAAAAUAAUGCUUCCAUAUUCAAGAGCAGACUCUGGUUACAUCAUUAAUGGAGGGCCUUUUCAUGGACCUAUGAUUUCCUUAGAGAGACGGCAUAUGGAUGUCCAGGGAAAUACAUUUGCUUUUGGAGUACUGCUGCUAGAGCUAAUAAGCGGGAGACCUCCGUUUUGCAAAGACAGAGGGUGCUUGGUAGAUUGGGUAAGCAACAUGUAUCAGAUUUUUUUUAAAAAAGAAUCACCAGAUCAAGUUUAAACCCUAUUGAAAUUAUCAUCCCAUGAAAUGUUUUCAUUUCCUCCUUUCAUGCAGAAGAUAAGUGUCAUGACAGUGUACAACUUGAUGAAUUUAUUGAUGAAUAUCCAUCAUGGAGUUCAAGUUCAGUUUACCAUCCAUCUUGGCCACCCUGAAUGUGUUUUGUCCCAAAAUAGCAGAAUUCAUCGAGUUCUGCACUGUCAAAACUUCUCUCUUUGAAAUUAACCAAUGAAACUGAUGAUACUAUUUCUCAUACAAAAUUUCUCAAAUAGGGAUAGCUUGAAUAUGAGAUGGCCAUGCAUGGGAACCUGUUGAUUUUAACAAGAUGAGAAGCUGCACUGAUCAGUUUGAAAUCAUGUUUCGUAGAAAAUGGUUCGGUGAACUAUUAUACUAUUGAAUGGUAGUGUCCUUUAGUGAAGUUUAAAAUGUAAUGCGUCCUAUUGCAAUCAAUCUGCUAUAUAUUCCAUUAUGCUGCCGGGUAGGUAGGUAUUCUAUACAUCAUUUGUACAAGUGCAGUUAUCACAAGUCGAUAGAACGUCCAAAUAAUAAAUGUUUGCUCAUGCAUUUCCAUGUCACAGUGUUUGACUGGCACAUCACAAACUUGUGUCAUAGACAUGAUUUCUUGUAUUUGUUAUAUGCAUAUGUGCACAAGGUAGGCCAAUAUUAUUGACUUAGGGGUCGCAUUGCUGGCUAAAUUUGUAGUCUCUAAAUCUCAUGAAGUUAUCAUCAGCAAAGUUUGAAACCUUGAUUUUGGUUGUGGUUUUGUUCACUUUUUCCAAGUUUUGGUUUAAACUAGUUUAAAUUUGGUUUUCAGUAUUUUGGCUGAAGAAUAAGAAAAGAGGAUGAAAACAUUAUGGAGAAUAAAAAAAAAUAAAAUUAGCGAAUGAAACAAAUAUGACACAGCCUUGAAGAAUAAUGCAUCAUUUGAAAUCAAUAAAAUGUGUUCUGUAUUUUUGAGCUUAAAGACCGAAAGUUUGAAGAGAUAUAAAAAAAUUUGGAAAAACAAUGAAGUGUUAAAGAACUACUAUUUGAUAGCCUGACAAUUUACAAGUCUAAUAGUAGUAAAAUAUAUUAGUAUGAAGUUUCA
RNAcentral lists this long non-coding RNA (12883 nucleotides) under Phoenix dactylifera (date palm). Its description in RNAcentral is "long non-coding RNA (PDAC_LNC006775)". Lineage: Eukaryota; Viridiplantae; Streptophyta; Magnoliopsida; Arecales; Arecaceae. The record is from RNAcentral.